Molecule: ribosomal RNA, 253 nt
Filed under: uncultured bacterium
Lineage: Bacteria
Description: partial 16S ribosomal RNA
Rfam family: Bacterial small subunit ribosomal RNA
Source: RNAcentral
UACGUAGGUGACCAGCGUUGUCCGGAUUUACUGGGCGUAAAGAGCGCGCAGGCGGUCGUUCAAGUCGAGUGUGAAAGCCCCCGGCUCAACUGGGGAGGGUCAUUCGAUACUGAUCGACUCGAAGGCAGGAGAGGGAAGUGGAAUUCCCGGUGCAGUGGUGAAAUGCGUAGAUAUCGGGAGGAACACCAGUGGCGAAGGCGACUUCCUGGCCUGUUCUUGACGCUGAGGCGCGAAAGCUAGGGGAGCAAACGGG